This 317-nucleotide long non-coding RNA is filed under the name Elaeis guineensis (African oil palm). Its description in RNAcentral is "long non-coding RNA (EGUI_LNC021324)". Lineage: Eukaryota; Viridiplantae; Streptophyta; Magnoliopsida; Arecales; Arecaceae. The record is from RNAcentral.
CUGUCAUCCUAAGUAAGUUGUUCUAUUUUGUGUCGAAAACUUCUCAAAAGUUGAGACUCCUGAUGGGGGCCCCAGUCCUUGCGGUGAUAGAGUUUUCUGUACCUCGACCGCUGUCCGUUUUCCAAUCGUAGCUGUCAUGGUCCGUUUCCUUCCUUUUUCCUUUUCGCUCAGAAUUUUCCUCCGCUGAAGUCAAUGCAAAGUUUGGCUCCCGUGGGAGUCCGGACGGAACCCUUCUGUGAUUAGAGUCGUGGGCGGAACCCGGCUCCCGUAGGAGUCCGGAUGAGUUGAAGUUGUCGGCGAAGUCCGGCUCCCGUAGG